GCGCCCUUGUGCGCGCGCGCGCCGUCGCUCCUCGAUGGCGGCCUGUUCCUCGGCCGCGCGCUCGUCCAAUGUGCGGCCGGCGCGUCGCGCGAGAUCCGCCAGUGCGGCACGGCGCGAUGCGGUUUCACGCACCAACGCAUCAAUGCGCUUGCGCACGCCGCCCGCGCGCGACAAGACAACGGGGCGCACCGAGGCACGCGCCAAUCGGCGUGCCUGCCGACGGGCCGGUUCGAUCAUGACGGGCACAACAAAGGAGAGCCUCUGGGCGUCGUCGGCGCCCAGGCCACCGAAAUUUUCCAGGGCGUCGCCGAUGGACGUCCCCUCGUGGAGGUCCCGAGGCGCCAGGCCGGGCAACGGCGCGGCGGCCUCAAAGUCAAACAGGCGCGGAUGCGGCAGGAGCACCCGGUAGGCGUCGAGGUCGGCGUCCGCCGGGAGGGCGCCGCGCUCGGCGAGGGCAGAGAUCACUUGGGCGCGCGUCGCGUCGCGAUCGACCAGCACGGCGUCAGACCCCACCAGGUUGCCGUCGGCGUCAAACACAUAGGCCGCGAGGGCGGCGACGUCCGGCGGCUUGUCGGCCAGUGCCUCGUCGGCGGCGGCGGGCAGGCCCGGCCCGAGGCGCACGGAUUCGACGGGCACACGGCGGCACAGGGUCCGCUCGGCGAGCACGUCGGGGUAAAAGGCCGCCAGGUACUCGCUGCGGGUCAUGUAGUCGCGCGUCUCGUGAUUGACAAAGGUCUGGGUCACCGGCUCCCAGCGCCACCGGGCGGCCUCGGCCGGGUCGCCGGCGGUCGGCCGGCGGCCGGCCAGGAAGGACACCUCGUCGGGCGCCAGCGUGCUAAAGGACGUGGCAUAGGCGAGGCCCAGCCGCUCCAGGAUACCCUGCUGGCGCUGGCGGGCCUCCUCUUCGAGGAGCGCAUCGAGCGACGGCUCCAACGCCACGGUGACGACCGACGGCGGCCGCUCCAGGACCAUCGUCGCCGAACCUGCUCCACGCGACCGCAUCAUCGUCCUCGUUUAUUUUCCCUUUUUUUUCUUUUCGCGGUGUCCUUUUCCGCUCGUCGGCAAGCAGCCUUUUUUUUUAAAAAAAUCUUUUUCCCUC
This 1099-nucleotide long non-coding RNA is filed under the name Pandoravirus dulcis. Its description in RNAcentral is "putative ncRNA". The record is from RNAcentral.